AAAUGCGAAAGUAGUGUGAAUUGCAGAAUUCAGUGAAUCAUCGAAUCUUUGAACGCACAUUGCGCCCCUUGGUAUUCCAUGGGGCAUGCCUGUUCGAGCGUCAUUUGUACCCUCAAGCUCUGCUUGGUGUUGGGUGUUUGUCCCCGUCUCCGCGCGUGGACUCGCCCCAAAGUGAUUGGCAGCCGGCGUACUGGUCCCGGAGCGCAGCACAUGUCGCGCAAACGAGUGCCUUGGUACGGCGGCGUCCAUAAGCCCCUCUCUCACGCUCUUGACCUCGGAUCAGGUAGGGAUACCCGCUGAACUUAAGC
This 308-nucleotide unclassified non-coding RNA is filed under the name plant metagenome. RNAcentral's name for it is "partial contains 5.8S ribosomal RNA, internal transcribed spacer 2, and large subunit ribosomal RNA". The stretch from base 1 to 103 matches the Rfam family "5.8S ribosomal RNA", at positions 51 to 154 of the family's 154-position model. The record is from RNAcentral.